RNAcentral lists this ribosomal RNA (253 nucleotides) under uncultured bacterium. RNAcentral's name for it is "partial 16S ribosomal RNA". It matches the Rfam family "Bacterial small subunit ribosomal RNA", at positions 524 to 776 of the family's 1533-position model. The record is from RNAcentral.
UACAGAGGGGACAAGCGUUAUUCGGAAUUAUUGGGCGUAAAGGGCGCGUAGGCGGCAUGGCAAGUGGAAGGUGAAAUCCCUCGGCUUAACCGAGGAACUGCCCUCCAAACUGCUUUGCUUGAGGCCGGGAGAGGUGAGUGGAAUUCCCAGUGUAGCGGUGAAAUGCGUAGAUAUUGGGAGGAACACCAGUGGCGAAGGCGGCUCACUGGACCGGUUCUGACGCUGAUGCGCGAAAGCGUGGGGAGCAAACGGG